UGGCCCACAUUGGGCACAUGGAUGUUGUGUGAUGGAGGCCCGACCGACAAACGAAACUCCAAGCCCUGCUGGAUGAAGGCACCAGCCUACACGUGGAUCCUACAGGACCCCCGUCAGCCACACGUUUGGCUCUCCCCGUUCUCCCAGGGCCAGAGGAAGCUUGGACUGGGGCACCCACGCUCAGCAGACAAAAGGGCAAGCUGAGCAGACCAUGCAUUCCCAGGCCAUGGAAAGCGAUGGGUCAUCUGCUGGCUGUGGGGCCACCAGAGGCACAAUGUCCCCACUGCUCCUCCCAUGCCCCAUGCAGAGAGCCCUGGAGCUGACUGUGGUUAUGAAGCCGGCUGCCAUGUGGACGACCUGGAUCAGAGCACGGGGUAGUCAUAUAUGACAAUCGUUUGAAAUAUCACAGCCACUCUCCCCCCACCCCCACUGGUGAUCUAUGGGCUGCGUGCCCUGUAAAAAUUAUUUAUCGGGG
This is a long non-coding RNA of Suricata suricatta (meerkat), 475 nucleotides long. RefSeq lists it as uncharacterized. The transcript is spliced from 2 exons. The record is from RefSeq and is a predicted model, not a curated record. Lineage: Eukaryota; Metazoa; Chordata; Mammalia; Carnivora; Herpestidae.